CCUACGGGCGGCUGCAGUGGGGAAUAUUGCACAAUGGAGGAAACCCUGAUGCAGCGACGCCGCGUGAGUGAAGAAGUAUCUCGGUACGUAAAGCUCUAUCAGCAGGGAAGAAAAUGACGGUACCUGACUAAGAAGCCCCCGCUACCUACGUGCCAGCAGCCGCGGUAAUACGUAGGGGGCAGGCGUUAUCCGGAUUUACGGGGGGGAAAGGGGGCGUCGACGGCAGCAAAAGUCUGGAGUGAAAUCCCGGGGCUUAACCCCGGAGCUGCUUUGGCAACUGUGCGGCUGGAGUGCAGGAGGGGUAAGCGGAAUUCCUAGUGUAGCGGUGAAAUGCGUAGAUAUUAGGAGGAACACCGGUGGCGAAGGCGGCUGACUGGACUGUAACUGACGUUGAGGCUCGAAAGCGUGGGGAGCAAACAGGAUUAGAUACCCUAGUAGUC
RNAcentral lists this ribosomal RNA (440 nucleotides) under uncultured bacterium. RNAcentral's name for it is "partial 16S ribosomal RNA". It matches the Rfam family "Bacterial small subunit ribosomal RNA", at positions 338 to 795 of the family's 1533-position model. The record is from RNAcentral.